Molecule: ribosomal RNA, 456 nt
Filed under: uncultured bacterium
Lineage: Bacteria
Description: bacterial SSU rRNA
Rfam family: Bacterial small subunit ribosomal RNA
Source: RNAcentral
UACGGAAGGCAGCAGUGGGGAAUAUUGCACAAUGGGCGAAAGCCUGAUGCAGCUAUGCCGCGUGUAUGAAGAAGGCCUUAGGGUUGUAAAGUACUUUCAUCGGGGAGGAAAAAACAAAACUAAUAAUUUUAUUUCUUGACGUUACCCGAAAAAGAAGCACCGGCUAACUCCGUGCCAGCAGCCGCGGUAAUACGGAGGGUGCUAGCGUUAAUCAGAAUUACUGGGCGUAAAGAGCACGUAGGUGGCUUUUUUAAGUCAGAUGUGAAAUCCCUGGGCUUAACCUAGGAACUGCAUUUUGAAACUGAAAUACUAGAGUAUCGUAGAGGGAGGUAGAAUUCUAGGUGUAGCGGUGAAAUGCGUAGAUAUCUGGAGGAAUACCUGUGGCGAAAGCGGCCUCCUAAACGAAUACUGACACUGAGGUGCGAAAGCGUGGGGAGCAAACAGGGAUUAGAUACC